ACUUAAAUAAACCUGAUGGGUAUAUUAUUAACUUAAGUAUCUAGAUCCGGACCCAAUCUUAAGUUAAAUGGGUAAGGUAUAUAUUUUUUGAGAAAAAUUUCAAAUACCACCCCUGUGGUUACACACUUUCUCACUUUAGUACCCUGUGGUUUAAGGCGUAUCAAUUUAGUGCCCUAUGGUUUCUUUUUAUCUUUUUAUUAUCGAUUCCACUAAUUUUUUUUCAUUAAAUCGGUGACAAAGUUAAAACUAAAGGGUACUAAAGUAAAUAUUCGAUAAACCUAGGUGGGUCUCUGAAGUUUUUGAUAUAUAAUUUAACGAAAUAUUAACGGAAAAGCUAGUGAAAAGAUAAAAAUGAAACCACAUGACACUAACUUGAUAAAUUUUAAACCACAGGGUACUAAAGUGAGAAAGUGCGAAACCACAAUGGUGGGAUUUGAAGUUUACCCCUUUUUUUUAUCCAUUUCUUUUUAAGGUUCGGGUAUAUCCAGACCCGACCGGUCUACGAACACCUUUAGGCACAAGCUGUAUUCGCUGUGCCGCAUCCUGCUAAUAAGAUAUAGGCAAUAUAUACUCCCAUGCCGAUGGUACAACUCAAAACAUUUUAUUUUUUAGGAAAAACUUCAAAUACCACCCCUGUGAUUUCACACUUUCUCACUUUAAUACCAUGUGCUUUAAAGUAUAUCAGUUUAGUGCCAUAUGGUUUUAUUUUUCUCGUUUUAUUAUCGAUUCCACUAUUUUUUUUUGUUAAAUCAGUGGUAAAGCUAAAAAUAAAAAGUACUAAAGUGAAUAUUCGAUAAAUCUAGAUAGAGUAUCUAAAUUUUUUUUGUAUAUAAUUUAACAAAAUGUUAACAGAGGAGCUGACGGAAAGAGAAAAAUAAAACCACUGAGUACUAAUUGAUAUACUUUAAACCACAGUGUACUAAAGUGAAAAAGUACAAAACCACAUGGGCGGUAUUUGAAGUUUAUCCUAUUUUUUAAAUUAGUAAGUAAUUUUUUCAAUAAAAUUUAAAAUAUUUGAUAAAAACAUAAUAAACAAUGAGAAUAUUAUUUUGCUAAAAAAAUAAAUAUUUGAUGUGAUUAUGUGUCGGCACACGUGUAUUUUUUGUGACCAGCACGCAUCAAUACGACCGGACACAUACCAUGUCGUAUCAUACUGGUAUAUUAAAUUUUCGAUACGAUCCUGUGCACGAAACUC
RNAcentral lists this long non-coding RNA (1195 nucleotides) under Ananas comosus (pineapple). RNAcentral's name for it is "long non-coding RNA (ACOM_LNC007586)". The record is from RNAcentral. Lineage: Eukaryota; Viridiplantae; Streptophyta; Magnoliopsida; Poales; Bromeliaceae.